RNAcentral lists this ribosomal RNA (497 nucleotides) under uncultured bacterium. RNAcentral describes it as "partial 16S ribosomal RNA". It matches the Rfam family "Bacterial small subunit ribosomal RNA", at positions 28 to 507 of the family's 1533-position model. The record is from RNAcentral.
GAUGAACGCUGGCGGCGUGCCUAAUACAUGCAAGUCGAGCGAACAGACGAGGAGCUUGCUCCUCUGACGUUAGCGGCGGACGGGUGAGUAACACGUGGAUAACCUACCUAUAAGACUGGGAUAACUUCGGGAAACCGGAGCUAAUACCGGAUAAUAUAUUGAACCGCAUGGUUCAAUAGUGAAAGACGGUUUUGCUGUCACUUAUAGAUGGAUCCGCGCCGCAUUAGCUAGUUGGUAAGGUAACAGCUUACCAAGGCAACGAUGCGUAGCCGACCUGAGAGGGUGAUCGGCCACCCUGGAACUGAGACACGGUCCAGACUCCUACGGGAGGCAGCAGUAGGGAAUCUUACGCAAUGGGCGAAAGCCUGACGGAGCAACGCCGCGUGAGUGAUGAAGGUCUUCGGAUCGUAAAACUCUGUUAUUAGGGAAGAACAAAUGUGUAAGUAACUAUGCACGUCUUGACGGUACCUAAUCAGAAAGCCACGGCUAGCUACGUG